UACGAAGGGGGCUAGCGUUGCUCGGAUUGACUGGGCGUAAAGGGCGCGUAGGCGGUUCGUACAGUCAGACGUGAAAUUCCCGGGCUCAACCUGGGGGCUGCGUUUGAUACGUGCGGACUUGAGUGCGGAAGAGGGUCGUGGAAUUCCCAGUGUAGAGGUGAAAUUCGUAGAUAUUGGGAAGAACACCGGUGGCGAAGGCGGCGACCUGGUCCGAUACUGACGCUGAGGCGCGAAAGCGUGGGGAGCAAACAGG
RNAcentral lists this ribosomal RNA (253 nucleotides) under uncultured bacterium. RNAcentral's name for it is "partial 16S ribosomal RNA". It matches the Rfam family "Bacterial small subunit ribosomal RNA", at positions 524 to 776 of the family's 1533-position model. The record is from RNAcentral.